This is a long non-coding RNA of Onychomys torridus (southern grasshopper mouse), 530 nucleotides long. RefSeq lists it as uncharacterized. The transcript has 3 exons. NCBI's taxonomy places the organism in Eukaryota, Metazoa, Chordata, Mammalia, Rodentia, Cricetidae. The record is from RefSeq and is a predicted model, not a curated record.
CUGGAGAAGCACUAAAGUAUUUACAGCUAUCCAGCAAACAAAUCCUGAAAUUAAAACAUAAAAUUUAAAAGGAUUCAAAUUUUCUGGAAGAACAAGGAGUUUUCCAUCAAAAUGUUUUCCUACUAAUAAGUAAGACAAGAAGGUUUUCUGCUGCACUGUUUCAAAACUCUUUCUCCACAAUGAAACCUUAUCCAAUCCUCUUUCACCCUUUAAAACUGCCUACACACUAAGCUCAAUGGACAAAUUUAAUACUUUGCAACAAAGAGCAUCUAUCACUUUCAGGUUGAAUAGAGGAAUUGUUCAGACACCAGCGAGAGACACUGUCUGUCACUGAACCUGGAGCACCACACUUUGGUAGACUGAUGGGUUAGCCAGCCCCAGGAUCCUUCUGUUUUUGCUUUCCUGUUGCUGCAGUUAUAGGUGCACAGCACUAUUCUGGAUGGUAAUGUGAGUGCUAGGGAUUCAGAUCCCAGGUCCUCAUGCUUUUGUUGCCAGGACUUUACCAUUGGUCCCAGGUCCUGUAUUCUCUG